Molecule: ribosomal RNA, 686 nt
Filed under: uncultured bacterium
Lineage: Bacteria
Description: bacterial SSU rRNA
Rfam family: Bacterial small subunit ribosomal RNA
Source: RNAcentral
GAGUAGCAAUACUCUCUGAUGGCGACCGGCGCAAGGGUGCGUAACGCGUGAGCAACUUGCCCUCAUCAGGGGAAUAAUCGCUGGAAACGGCGUCUAAUGCCCCAUGGUGAUGGAAUCAGGCAUCUGAUUUCAUCUAAAGAUCCGUCGGAUGAGGAUAGGCUCGCGUGACAUUAGCUAGACGGCGGGGUAACGGCCCACCGUGGCGACGAUGUCUAGGGGUUCUGAGAGGAAGGUCCCCCACACUGGAACUGAGACACGGUCCAGACUCCUACGGGAGGCAGCAGUGAGGAAUAUUGGUCAAUGGCCGGAAGGCUGAACCAGCCAUGCCGCGUGAAGGUCAGUGCCCUAUGGGCGUUAAACUUCUUUUGUGCGGGAGCAAUAAGGGCCACGCGUGGCCUGACGAGAGUACCGUACGAAUAAGCAUCGGCUAACUCCGUGCCAGCAGCCGCGGUAAUACGGGGGAUGCAAGCGUUAUCCGGAUUUAUUGGGUUUAAAGGGUGCGUAGGCUGUGAGGUAAGUCAGCGGUGAAAUGCCCCUGCUCAACGGGGUGAAGUGCCAUUGAUACUGCCUUGCUGGAAUGCGGAUGCCGUGGGAGGAAUGUGUGGUGUAGCGGUGAAAUGCAUAGAUAUCACACAGAACACCGAUUGCGAAGGCAUCUCACGAAUCCGCGAUUGACGCUGAUGCAC